GUAACUCUAAUAUAAUUAAGAAAGGAAAACAAUGGAAUCUACCCUUUUGGCAAUCUUUACGAAAUCCUAAAUAAAUAAAUAAAAGCUGAAAAGCAUUAAGUUUCAAGAUGCAAAAGAAAAAAAAAAAAAGCUAGCAAAGGAGACGACAGGAGCGAGUGAGAGCCACGUGACUAAGAUGUGUAAAACUAAAAGAAUGGGAGCGAGUAUAAAACUAAACAGCCAAAAAGAACUUGUAUAAAUUAGAUACGCCAGAAACAUUCACGUGGGAGAUCACGUGAUGGAGCGACCACGUGUCACACUCACAAGUGACAUAAUAGAGGAUGGUUUAGUUAGUAGUAUAGUAUUAUGAAUCUUCGCACCACCCCGGCGCGUGUCUCGUUGUCUCUCUCACACCGGACACCAAUCAUUUGAUGCGACACGAGCUUCCAACUACAAUUACAAUUCUGA
Molecule: long non-coding RNA, 447 nt
Filed under: Capsella rubella
Lineage: Eukaryota; Viridiplantae; Streptophyta; Magnoliopsida; Brassicales; Brassicaceae
Description: long non-coding RNA (CRUB_LNC003430)
Source: RNAcentral